UACGUAGGGUGCAAGCGUUGUCCGGAAUCAUUGGGCGUAAAGAGCGCGUAGGCGGCCCUGUAAGUCCGCUGUGAAAGUCAAGGGCUCAACCCUUGGAUGCCGGUGGAUACUGCAGGGCUAGAGUCCGGAAGAGGCGAGUGGAAUUCCUGGUGUAGCGGUGAAAUGCGCAGAUAUCAGGAGGAACACCGAUGGCGAAGGCAGCUCGCUGGGACGGUACUGACGCUGAGACGCGAAAGCGUGGGGAGCGAACAGG
Molecule: ribosomal RNA, 253 nt
Filed under: uncultured bacterium
Lineage: Bacteria
Description: partial 16S ribosomal RNA
Rfam family: Bacterial small subunit ribosomal RNA
Source: RNAcentral